Molecule: unclassified non-coding RNA, 319 nt
Filed under: uncultured fungus
Lineage: Eukaryota; Fungi
Description: sequence contains ITS1, 5.8S rRNA gene
Rfam family: 5.8S ribosomal RNA (bases 271-319)
Source: RNAcentral
UUUCCGUAGGUGAACCUGCGGAAGGAUCAUUACCGAGUUAGGGUCUCCUCCGUGAGGCCCGACCUCCCAACCCCGUGUCUAAUAAACCUGUUUGUGUUGCUUCGGCGGAACGGCAGUUGCCCACCCCCACACCCGGGGGAGGGAGACCGUCGCCGGGGGCGUCCAGCCCUUGGAGAGCGUCCGCCGAUGGCCCAACCAAACAAACUCCCAAACCAAAUAAUAGUACCUAAAACUUCUGAAUCAGACUUUUGAUAUACCAAUCAAAAACAAAACUUUCAACAACGGAUCUCUUGGUUCGGGCAUCGAUGAAGAACGCAGC